AAAGGAAAUCACGCAAAGCACGCCCUCAUCUAACGCCUUCGAUUUCCCUCCCGAAUCCCCCUUCCUCUCUCCCUCAAACCUCAAUCGCCGCCGCCCCGGCACCUCGCCGGCCACCGCAGCUCCGGCUCCUCCUCCCCAACCCACCCCCUCCUCUCCAUCCAGAACCCCCAACGGCGGCCGCAUCCCCCACCACCCACGCGAUCUCUUCCCCUCGAUCCUCGCCGGCGCAUGCGACCCACCUCCGCGCCGUCAAGAACCGGCGACCUCCACCCUCGAGGUCAACUCGAUCUCCGCCGUCCUCUGGGGAUCCUUCACCGUGCGGAUUCCGACCCUCGGCGCCGCGCUCCGGGAAGACGUACAUCCCCUGGGCACGCCUCCAUCGGCGAGCUCCUGCCACGGCGCCCAUCCGGAGCACGAAGGCCGCUUUAGUUCACCCAGCCACCGCGCCGCUAUCCUACUCCGAAGACCUGCUACUGACCGGACCACUGCCGGCAGCCUCCACAAGCUGGCGAGCCCUAGGAGAAGCUUGGGACAGAUGGAUUGAUGGUGGUGCAGCUCGAGGAGGCGGCGGCGGGUUCGCGAGGGGCGACGGCUUGCUCGGACGAACGGAUACUGCUACGGCUUGCUAUUAGGAAGGAUUAUCUUAAAGAGUAGCUGCAACCCUGAUCUGCUAUAGAAGCAUCGUAGAAGAUAAGGUCCCCUGUAAAACAUGGUUGCACUAGCUGUUUGUGUUACUGCAUUAGGGAAAGGCAUCCCAUAUGUGUAUUAGACUACCUCAGACUCAGAGAAAGUUACUUGGCAAGGAGUGUGGUGAAGGGCACAAUAUAUCCUGAGCGGCACACUACAAUUUUGUUUGAGGAUUGAGGAAGCAUUCAACAAUUAUAGUGCAAGGAUAGAUAUACCAUCUGAUUGAGCCAACUCAGCAGACACUCACGAUGAUUGUUUCUUGAGUGGGAGGAGAUUCUGAAACAAGUACAUAAAUGCUUACAGGGACGUUUAGUAGAUCCACUGAAGCAGAACAACAUUUUUGGGCGCAAUGUCAGCAAAGGUAGUGGACGGAUGUACAUAUGAGAUGCCAACGGAGCCAUGUUCUUGGACCUGCGGUGCUUGGUAGCCGGUUGGGAUGUACGCUGCGCCGGAGGAUCGGCUGGCUAACAACGGUUGGUGGUGAGAGAGAAGGAAGGGGAGAGAUGUACGCGGGCCUGCACUGAUGCAGCGGCGGCAGCAGCAACAGUGAGGGUAAAAUGUAGCCGCGGGGUGGUGGCUUGGAGAAAAGGAGCUAGACUAGCUGUGUGUUGGUUCAGGUUUUGUUCCGGCUGGACUAGCGAAGAUGCUAGUUGUGUGUGUGGUGUAUCAUUCAGGUUCUAGCUAAAGUGUGGACAAGAUGCAUCUGGCCAAAAUUUUCCACCAAUGCUGCUGUACAUGCUAGCUAGCUAGGUGUUGUUUCAUGUCCAGUCGCUUGGCUUGCUGCAGCUGUCGUGUAUACUGUAGUUUCGCUGGUGGCCAAGCAAUAUCUUGUGCUAAGUUCUUUAUAUGUAUUUAAAUGCCUUGAGGAUGUUAUGUGCUGUGAAUGUACGGAAAACAAUUUAUCAAAAAUCACUAAAUUGAGCUUAGCUAGUACA
Long non-coding RNA from Lolium perenne, 1622 nucleotides. RefSeq lists it as uncharacterized. Lineage: Eukaryota; Viridiplantae; Streptophyta; Magnoliopsida; Poales; Poaceae. The record is from RefSeq and is a predicted model, not a curated record.